GCUACGCGCUACCAUGCAAGUCGAGCGGAUGAAGGAGCUUGCUCCUGGAUUCAGCGGCGGACGGGUGAGUAAUGCCUAGGAAUCUGCCUGGUAGUGGGGGACAACGUUUCGAAAGGAACGCUAAUACCGCAUACGUCCUACGGGAGAAAGCAGGGGACCUUCGGGCCUUGCGCUAUCAGAUGAGCCUAGGUCGGAUUAGCUAGUUGGUGAGGUAAUGGCUCACCAAGGCGACGAUCCGUAACUGGUCUGAGAGGAUGAUCAGUCACACUGGAACUGAGACACGGUCCAGACUCCUACGGGAGGCAGCAGUGGGGAAUAUUGGACAAUGGGCGAAAGCCUGAUCCAGCCAUGCCGCGUGUGUGAAGAAGGUCUUCGGAUUGUAAAGCACUUUAAGUUGGGAGGAAGGGUUGUAGAUUAAUACUCUGCAAUUUUGACGUUACCGACAGAAUAAGCACCGGCUAACUCUGUGCCAGCAGCCGCGGUAAUACAGAGGGUGCAAGCGUUAAUCGGAAUUACUGGGCGUAAAGCGCGCGUAGGUGGUUUGUUAAGUUGGAUGUGAAAUCCCCGGGCUCAACCUGGGAACUGCAUCCAAAACUGGCAAGCUAGAGUAUGGUAGAGGGUGGUGGAAUUUCCUGUGUAGCGGUGAAAUGCGUAGAUAUAGGAAGGAACACCAGUGGCGAAGGCGACCACCUGGACUGAUACUGACACUGAGGUGCGAAAGCGUGGGGAGCAAACAGGAUUAGAUACCCUGGUAGUCCACGCCGUAAACGAUGUCAACUAGCCGUUGGGAGCCUUGAGCUCUUAGUGGCGCAGCUAACGCAUUAAGUUGACCGCCUGGGGAGUACGGCCGCAAGGUUAAAACUCAAAUGAAUUGACGGGGGCCCGCACAAGCGGUGGAACAUGUGGGUUAAUUCGAAGCAACGCGAAGAACCUUACCAGGCCUUGACUUCCAAUGAACUUUCCAGAGAUGGAUUGGUGCCUUCGGGAACAUUGAAACAGGGGG
Molecule: ribosomal RNA, 1003 nt
Filed under: Pseudomonas koreensis
Lineage: Bacteria; Pseudomonadati; Pseudomonadota; Gammaproteobacteria; Pseudomonadales; Pseudomonadaceae
Description: bacterial SSU rRNA
Rfam family: Bacterial small subunit ribosomal RNA
Source: RNAcentral